UUCUGCGGUCGACAAGAAACCAGGGCGACCCUCAGCAAGUCUUCCCGGAGCAGGUUGGGGGGAACUGAGGGGGGUGGGAUAAGUGAUUAGGCUGGGGGGCCAAGACCGAGAGGGCGGCGGACUAGGAGGACCCGCGAGUGCGGGUGGACGGAAAGGAGGAUGUGGCUUAGGGAAUCCCUGCACGGAUCCCGAGACCGGGAAAUCGGCCCGAGCCAAAGUCUCAGCACCUUCCCCAGGAUCUUACAAAGUUGCAACAACAAAAAAGGAGGGGGGAGGAAGGGGGAAGGGGGUGGGAAAGGGAUACGAUCGCAGGCGCAAGGUUUGAAGUUACAACUGUUUAUUUAGUCCUUAUUCUCACAGGGGAGGGAGCUGCGCGGGAAGGGGGGGGUGCUGCAGGCUGCGAUUUCGAAGCAAACACUGGGGAGGGGGCAUGCGACUUUGUUUCUGGGUGCGGAGCUCCCCGGCGCCCGCGUGUGUCACCGCCAGUCUCCGGGGACCGAGGCGGAGCUCACAACAGGAAAACGCCCAGAGGCUAGCAUGUCAAUCAGUUGUUUAACACAAAUUACCUGCUCUUCCAGAGAUCAGUCACAUGCAAAAAACUCUGUCCAAUUCUUUGAAAAGGUGAGAUUUUUUUUUCUUUUUGCUGUUUUGAAGUUUGGUGGAAUUUAGAAAUUUGAAGAAGUAAAUUAGAAGCCUGAAUGAAAUGUUUUAAAAUAUACAUAUAUUUGUAUAAAAACAAGACACUGGUAUCUCUUUCCUCUUUAACAACACAAAUUGAGAAGGAAGACUUCUUGUUUCCAAAAUGUGACUGAGAAAGAGAUAUAGGGUUCUAUGGCUUGUUGUUGUUAACAGAAAUAAUUUUUUUCAGACCCAUCACCCCAGAAGCUGCCAAACUCCUAAGCCAGCAUUUCCAGCUACUGGCUGGCUGGUGUAUCAGGCCAACUCUUAAUGAGAAUGUAUUGAAAGCCACUCCUGUGGAUUCCUACAAAGUACCUUGGGGCGGGGGGGCCAGUUCUGUUCCAUUCCUUGAGACCAGCGCAAUUGUAGAUAAUAAACAUCCUGAAAAGGUUA
Long non-coding RNA from Mustela erminea (ermine), 1071 nucleotides. RefSeq lists it as uncharacterized. The transcript is spliced from 2 exons. Lineage: Eukaryota; Metazoa; Chordata; Mammalia; Carnivora; Mustelidae. The record is from RefSeq and is a predicted model, not a curated record.